Molecule: ribosomal RNA, 252 nt
Filed under: uncultured bacterium
Lineage: Bacteria
Description: partial 16S ribosomal RNA
Rfam family: Bacterial small subunit ribosomal RNA
Source: RNAcentral
UACGUAGGUGGCAAGCGUUGUCCGGAUUUACUGGGCGUAAAGAGCGCGCAGGCGGUCGCUAAGUCGCGUGUGAAAGCCCCCGGCUCAACUGGGGAGGGUCACGCGAUACUGGUCGUCACGAAGGCAGGAGAGGGUAGUGGAAUUCCCGGUGUAGUGGUGAAAUGCGUAGAUAUCGGGAGGAACACCAGUGGCGAAGGCGACUACCUGGCCUGUUCUUGACGCUGAGGCGCGAAAGCUAGGGGAGCAAACGGG